UUGAUCCUGGCUCAGGAUGAACGCUGGCGGCGUGCUUAAGACAUGCAAGUCGAACGAAGAAGCGGUAGCAAUACGGCUUCUUAGUGGCGAAUGGGUGCGUAACACGUAGGUGACCUGCCCUGAAGUGGGGAAUAACAGGCCGAAAGGCUUGCUAAUACCGCAUGCGGUGCAGUGGAUUAGAAGCCACUGCUCCAAAGGUCUGUCGCAAGACAAAUCGCUUCAGGAGGGGCCUGCGGCCCAUCAGCUAGUUGGUAGGGUAAUGGCCUACCAAGGCAACGACGGGUAGGGGACCUGAGAGGGUGGCCCCCCACACUGGCACUGACACACGGGCCAGACUCCUACGGGAGGCAGCAGUCGGGAAUAUUGCCCAAUGGACGAAAGUCUGAGGCAGCAACGCCGCGUGCGCGAUGAAGGCCUUCGGGUCGUAAAGCGCUUUUCGGGUGGAUGAGGAAGGACAGUACACCCGGAAUAAGGUACGGCUAACUACGUGCCAGCAGCCGCGGUAAAACGUAGGUACCGAGCGUUAUCCGGAUUUACUGGGCGUAAAGCGUGUUCAGGCGGUCAGGCAAGUCGGGCAUGAAAUCUCUCGGCUCAACCGGGAGAGGUUGUCCGAUACUGGCUGACUUGAGGGCAGUAGAGGGUGGUGGAAUUCCGGGUGUAGUGGUGAAAUGCGUAAUUCCGGAGGAACACCAGUGGCGAAAGCGGCCACCUGGACUGNACCCUGAACGCUCAAAACACGAAAGCUAGGGAGGCGAACGGGAUUAGAAACCCCGGUUAGUCCUAGCCGUAAACGAAUGUUUACUAAGGUNUUAGCGGUCUAAACCCCGGUUGUGUUGGCCGAGCUAACGGCCNNCUAAGUUCAAACCGGCCUGGGGACUACGGCCCGCAGNUUAAAAACCUCAAAGGGAAUUGANCGGGGACCCGCACAACCAGCGGAGCGUGUGGUAUAAUUCGAGGAUACAGCGAAGAACCUUACCAAGGGAAUUGACAGUGACGGUAGUAGUGAAGCGAAAAGCGGAACGACCCUUCGGGGACCAGUACACAGUGAUGCAUGGCUGUCGUCAAGCUCGUGCCGUGAGUGUUGUUUGGUUAAGUCCACUAAUCGAGCGCAACCCUUAUGUGCCAGUUUAUAUCGUGUCUGGCACUGACUAGCCGGUAUUUAAAGCCGGAGGAAGGUGGGGAUGACGUACAAGUCAGCAUGUCCUUUAUACCCUGGUCUACACANAUUGCUACUNAUGGCCAGUACAAUGGUGUUGCCAACGUCCGCGAUGGCGGAGGCCAAUCCUGAUAAAGAUGGUACUCAUGUGUCGGGAUUGCACGGCUUGCAACGUAGCUUGUCAUGAAGUCGGAGCUUGNUAGUANAACGCAGGACAGCCUAUACUGCGUUGAAUACGCUUCCCGGGUCUUGUACACCACCGCCCUCGUCACGUCAUGGGAGUUGG
RNAcentral lists this ribosomal RNA (1442 nucleotides) under uncultured bacterium. RNAcentral describes it as "16S ribosomal RNA". It matches the Rfam family "Bacterial small subunit ribosomal RNA". The record is from RNAcentral.